GAGCAAGCGGACCUCAUAAAGUGCGUCGUAGUCCGGAUUGGAGUCUGCAACUCGACUCCAUGAAGUCGGAAUCGCUAGUAAUCGUGGAUCAGAAUGCCACGGUGAAUACGUUCCCGGGCCUUGUACACACCGCCCGUCACACCAUGGGAGUGGGUUGCAAAAGAAGUAGGUAGCUUAACCUUCGGGAGGGCGCUUACCACUUUGUGAUUCAUGACUGGGGUGAAGUCGUAACAAGGUAACCGUAGGGGAACCUGCGGUUGGAUCACCUCCUU
This 272-nucleotide ribosomal RNA is filed under the name Escherichia coli. RNAcentral's name for it is "partial 16S ribosomal RNA". It matches the Rfam family "Bacterial small subunit ribosomal RNA", at positions 1261 to 1532 of the family's 1533-position model. Lineage: Bacteria; Pseudomonadati; Pseudomonadota; Gammaproteobacteria; Enterobacterales; Enterobacteriaceae. The record is from RNAcentral.